Molecule: ribosomal RNA, 238 nt
Filed under: uncultured bacterium
Lineage: Bacteria
Description: partial 16S ribosomal RNA
Rfam family: Bacterial small subunit ribosomal RNA
Source: RNAcentral
GAUGCGAGCGUUAUCCGGAUUUAUUGGGUUUAAAGGGUGCGUAGGCGGAGAGCCAAGUCAGCGGUAAAAUCGUGGGGCCCAACCCCAUCCCGCCGUUGAAACUGGCUUCCUUGAGUGCACACAAGGAUGCCGGAAUUCAUGGUGUAGCGGUGAAAUGCUCAGAUAUCAUGAAGAACUCCGAUCGCGAAGGCAGGUGUCCGGGGUGCAACUGACGCUGAGGCUCGAAAGUGCGGGUAUC